Molecule: ribosomal RNA, 253 nt
Filed under: uncultured bacterium
Lineage: Bacteria
Description: partial 16S ribosomal RNA
Rfam family: Bacterial small subunit ribosomal RNA
Source: RNAcentral
UACAGAGGUCUCAAGCGUUGUUCGGAUUCAUUGGGCGUAAAGGGUGCGUAGGCGGCGCGGUAAGUCGGGUGUGAAAUCUUGGAGCUUAACUCCGAAACUGCAUUCGAUACUGCCGUGCUUGAGGACUGGAGAGGAGACUGGAAUUUACGGUGUAGCGGUGAAAUGUGUAGAGAUCGGGAGGAACACCGGUGGCGAAGGCGGGUCUCUGGGCAUCUCCUGACGCUGAGGCGCGAAAGCGUGGGGAGCAAACGGG